Molecule: non-coding RNA, 148 nt
Filed under: Pan troglodytes (chimpanzee)
Lineage: Eukaryota; Metazoa; Chordata; Mammalia; Primates; Hominidae
Source: Rfam by way of RNAcentral
GCUGGGCAUGGUGGUGGGUGCCUGUAGUCCCAGCUACUUGGGAGGCUGAGGCAGGAGAAUCGCUUGAACCCAGGAGGUGGAGGUUGCAGUGAGCUGAGGUCACGCCACUGCCCUCCAGCCUGGGCAAUAGAGCGAGACUCCGUCUCAA